RNAcentral lists this unclassified non-coding RNA (240 nucleotides) under soil metagenome. Its description in RNAcentral is "partial contains 5.8S ribosomal RNA, internal transcribed spacer 2, and large subunit ribosomal RNA". The record is from RNAcentral.
AACCAUAGAAACCUGCGGAGUACCUGCGGAGGGAUCAUUACAGAGUUGCAAAACUCCCACAAACCAUCGCGAAUCUUACCCGUACGGUUGCCUCGGCGCUGGCGGUCCGGAAGGCCCUCGGGCCCCCGGACCCUCGGGUCCCCCGCUCGCGGGGGGCUGCCCGCCGGAGUGCCGAAACCAAACUCUUGAUAUUUUAUGUCUCUCUGAGUAAACUUUUAACAACGGAUCUCAGAUCGGAAG